This 916-nucleotide ribosomal RNA is filed under the name uncultured archaeon. Its description in RNAcentral is "bacterial SSU rRNA". It matches the Rfam family "Archaeal small subunit ribosomal RNA", at positions 4 to 925 of the family's 1478-position model. The record is from RNAcentral.
CCGGUUGAUCCCGCCGGAGGUCACUGCUAUUGGGAUUCGACUAAGCCAUGCGAGUCGAGAGGGUUCGGCCCUCGGCAGACUGCUCAGUAACACGUGGAUAAUCUGCCCUUAGGUGGGGAAUAACCUCGGGAAACUGAGGAUAAUACCCCAUAGGUCUAGAAUGCUGGAAUGCGUCUAGGCUGAAAGUUCCGGCGCCUAAGGAUGAGUCUGCGGACUAUCAGGUUGUAGUCAGGGUAAAGACCUGACUAGCCUACGACGGAUACGGGUUGUGAGAGCAAUAGCCCGGAGAUGAUAUCUGAGACACGAUAUCAGGCCCUACGGGGCGCAGCAGGCGCGAAACCUUCACACUGUGCGAGAGCACGAUGAGGGGAUCCCAAGUGCUAGUUCGUAAGAGCUAGCUGUUUUUCUGUCUAAAAAACAGUGAGAGUAAGGGCUGGGUAAGACGGGUGCCAGCCGCCGCGGUAAUACCUGCAGCCCGAGUAGUGAUCGUUAUUAUUGGGCCUAAAACGUCCGUAGCCUGUUUGGUAAAUGCUUGGGUAAAUCGUGUGGCUUAACCAUACGAAUACCGGGUAGACUGCCAGACUUGAGACCGGGAGAGGUUGGAGGUACUCCUGGGGUAGAGGUGAAAUUCUGUAAUCCUGGGGGGACCACCAGUGGCGAAGGCGUCCAACCAGAACGGGUCUGACGGUGAGGGACGAAGCCCUGGGGCGCAAACCGGAUUAGAUACCCGGGUAGUCCAGGGUGUAAACGCUGCUUGCUUGAUGUUAGGUCGGCUUCGAGCCUGCCUAGUGUCGGAGAGAAGUUGUUAAGCAAGCUGCCUGGGAAGUACGGUCGCAAGACUGAAACUUAAAGGAAUUGGCGGGGGAGCACAGCAACGGGUGGAGCGUGCGGUUUAAUUGGAUUCAACGCCGGGAAU